This 467-nucleotide ribosomal RNA is filed under the name uncultured bacterium. RNAcentral describes it as "partial 16S ribosomal RNA". It matches the Rfam family "Bacterial small subunit ribosomal RNA", at positions 28 to 507 of the family's 1533-position model. The record is from RNAcentral.
GAUGAACGCUGGCGGCGUGCUUAACACAUGCAAGUCGAACGGAAAGGCUCCUGCUUGCAGGGGUACUCGAGUGGCGAACGGGUGAGUAACACGUGGGUGAUCUGCCCUGCACUUCGGGAUAAGCCUGGGGAACUGGGUCUAAUACCGGAUAGGACCACAUUUUGGAUGGUGUGGUGGAAAGUUUUUCGGUGUGGGAUGAGCUCGCGGCCUAUCAGCUUGUUGGUGGGGUAAUGGCCUACCAAGGCGUCGACGGGUAGCCGGCCUGAGAGGGUGUACGGCCACAUUGGGACUGAGAUACGGCCCAGACUCCUACGGGAGGCAGCAGUGGGGAAUAUUGCACAAUGGGCGCAAGCCUGAUGCAGCGACGCCGCGUGGGGGAUGACGGCCUUCGGGUUGUAAACUCCUUUCGCUAGGGACGAAGCGUUUUUGUGACGGUACCUGGAGAAGAAGCACCGGCUAACUACGUG